RNAcentral lists this ribosomal RNA (253 nucleotides) under uncultured bacterium. RNAcentral's name for it is "partial 16S ribosomal RNA". It matches the Rfam family "Bacterial small subunit ribosomal RNA", at positions 524 to 776 of the family's 1533-position model. The record is from RNAcentral.
UACAGAGGGUGCGAGCGUUGUUCGGAAUUAUUGGGCGUAAAGCGCUUGUAGGCGGCACGUCAAGUCGCGUGUGAAAUCCCCAGGCUUAACCUGGGAAGUGCGCGCGAAACUGACGAGCUUGAGUGCCGGAGAGGGUCGCGGAAUUCCCGGUGUAGAGGUGAAAUGCGUAGAUAUCGUGAGGAACACCAGAGGCGAAGGCGGCUACCUGGACAAUUGCUGACGCUCAGGCACGAAAGCGUGGGGAGCAAAAGGG